UACGGAGGGGGCUAGCGUUGUUCGGAAUUACUGGGCGUAAAGCGCGCGUAGGCGGACCUGCAAGUCGGGGGUGAAAGCCCGAGGCUCAACCUCGGAACUGCCUUCGAUACUGCGGGUCUCGAGUCCGGGAGAGGUGAGUGGAAUUCCUAGUGUAGAGGUGAAAUUCGUAGAUAUUAGGAAGAACACCAGUGGCGAGGGCGGCUCACUGGCCCGGUACUGACGCUGAGGCGCGAAAGCGUGGGGAGCAAACAGG
RNAcentral lists this ribosomal RNA (253 nucleotides) under uncultured bacterium. RNAcentral describes it as "partial 16S ribosomal RNA". It matches the Rfam family "Bacterial small subunit ribosomal RNA", at positions 524 to 776 of the family's 1533-position model. The record is from RNAcentral.